CGGGGUAUGGCCCAGCUUGGUAGGGCGCCUGACUGGGGGUCAGGAGGUCAUCGGUUCGAAUCCGGUUACCCCGAC
RNAcentral lists this transfer RNA (75 nucleotides) under Nonomuraea glycinis. Its description in RNAcentral is "tRNA-Pro". It matches the Rfam family "tRNA". Rfam says of the family: Transfer RNA (tRNA) molecules are approximately 80 nucleotides in length. Their secondary structure includes four short double-helical elements and three loops (D, anti-codon, and T loops). The record is from RNAcentral. Lineage: Bacteria; Bacillati; Actinomycetota; Actinomycetes; Streptosporangiales; Streptosporangiaceae.